GACGAACGCUGGCGGCGUGCUUAACACAUGCAAGUCGAACGGAAAGGCCCUGCUUUUGUGGGGUGCUCGAGUGGCGAACGGGUGAGUAACACGUGAGUAACCUGCCCUUGACUUUGGGAUAACUUCAGGAAACUGGGGCUAAUACCGGAUAGGAGCUCCUGCUGCAUGGUGGGGGUUGGAAAGUUUCGGCGGUUGGGGAUGGACUCGCGGCUUAUCAGCUUGUUGGUGGGGUAGUGGCUUACCAAGGCUUUGACGGGUAGCCGGACUGAGAGGGUGACCGGCCACAUUGGGACUGAGAUACGGCCCAGGCUCCUACGGGAGGCAGCAGUGGGGAAUAUUGCACAAUGGGCGGAAGCCUGAUGCAGCAACGCCGCGUGCGGGAUGACGGCCUUCGGGUUGUAAACCGCUUUCGCCUGUGACGAAGCGUGAGUGACGGUAAUGGGUAAAGAAGCACCGGCUAACUACGUG
Molecule: ribosomal RNA, 468 nt
Filed under: uncultured bacterium
Lineage: Bacteria
Description: partial 16S ribosomal RNA
Rfam family: Bacterial small subunit ribosomal RNA
Source: RNAcentral